UCCCAGGUGGCUCAGUGGGUAAGGCGCUGGUCUCGAGUGCAGGCGGAGCCACACGCCCCGGGUUCGACCCCGGCUGCGUUG
Molecule: non-coding RNA, 81 nt
Organism: Megalops atlanticus (tarpon)
Lineage: Eukaryota; Metazoa; Chordata; Actinopteri; Elopiformes; Megalopidae
Source: the annotation of a GenBank genome assembly